Long non-coding RNA from Thunnus maccoyii (southern bluefin tuna), 4686 nucleotides. RefSeq lists it as uncharacterized. The transcript has 4 exons. NCBI's taxonomy places the organism in Eukaryota, Metazoa, Chordata, Actinopteri, Scombriformes, Scombridae. The record is from RefSeq and is a predicted model, not a curated record.
ACUACCCUGUCAUACACACACACACACACACACACACACACACACACACACACACACACACACACAGUAUAGUUUUUAAAUUACUGGAACUUGAUCAAACAAGGUGUAAGGUUCCGUGAUGCAUCUACAAUAGACAACCACCCUGACACAACCACCCCAUCCCCACACAAACACAGAAGGUAAAGUUUUUAAAACACACAAAAGGUAAAGUUUUUAAAGUUCUGAAAGAGUGAAGGUUAACAGAUGGAAAAACAAAAGAUUUUUGCAUAAAUAGUCUUUCAAAAGACGACUAGAUAGAAGCCGUCUGAAGAGAGAGACAGAGAGUCAUGGAAAACGCCGAGCAAAAUACCUUUGUUCCAGAGAGCCCUUUUGCGUUUGGGUUUACAGAUGAUUAUUUUUCGGCGGAAAACUUGGAAGAAAUUCGGUGUAUUUUGAGCCAAAACUUACCACGCAGUUUUCAAAUCACCACCACAGACAUCCAUCCGAUUCCGCCGACUCCUGAGGCCUUAAGGUCGCCCGAUACAUCUGGGGUAAAUCCUUGGGUUGAAGACGGUGUAAACACGCCACCUCCUUCCCCGACCGCAGAAAUCUUGCCAUCCAGCCCGGGUUUAACUCAUCCGGACACAGACGCUGUGAGAGAGGGGACGACACUCAGAGUCUUCAGUCUACAUCCCCGGCAGCAGAAGCCGGGGUUUCAUCCAGUCCUCCCGGGGAAAGUCGAGCGAGUGAAGGACCUCGCAGAGAAAAAACGGCGAGGUCGAACAACGGACCUUCGAGACCAGUACCUCUGAUGAAUCGUCAUAGAGCCAGGCGCCGAGGACAAAACAUCGCAAGAGGACGGUGUCGUCAUCAUGAAGGGUGUAGAAGAAGCAGCGUGGAGAAGCAGGAACUGAUGCAGCAGAUGAUUGGUUUAAUAGGUGAAGUACACCAGAUUAUGAACCAAAUGCUGUCUUUGUGCAACAGGGGGAGAGUGUAAUUUUCUGUAUGUGUAAUUCAAGUGCAAUGUACCAGAAAGAUCAUUUUUCUAUGUAACCGGGUGUGACUUUUUUUUUUUUUUUUUAUCAUGGACAACCAACGUUUGUCAAACCGAAAUUUAUUGUGUGAAGAUAAUGAAUCAGAGGAAACACUAAUGUCAAUAAACAAAAUCUCCACCAGUUCUAAAGCUGUUACCUUCUUAGAUGCUAUCGAUAAUGCUAUUGUAUAGAGUCUUAAACCAAAUUGACAAAGUUAAUGAAUCAGAAGAAACACUGUCACCUCUCAGCCCAAACUCUGCUAGUUCUAACAUCGAUCAUCCCUUUCCUGAUAUCAAUAAUGCUACCACCAAUCUUAAUGUCAUAAACCAAUUUCAAGAGCUAAUGAGUCAAAUACCCCCCAGAUCCGAACCUUCUGAACCCUCGGUGUUAAGCGAUGUACAAAUUGAAACACAAAAUGAAUCAGAAACUGUUGAUUACUUUGACGCUUUAAACAAUGCUGUAAGGUUUUUAGAAAAUCAGACAGAUUUCCUGCAACACAUUGAGUCAGGGCACUCACAACAAAAUCAACAAUACGGUGGUAACAUUACUGAAAAUACAGCACAACAGGAAAAUUCAUCUCCGUCCAGGGUGGUGAGGCGUGAUAGAUUUAACAACAUUGAAAUUACUCAGCCUCUCAACAUCCUUAGAGAUCAAAGUAUUGCUAAUUAUGCUGCAUAUUAUUGCAGUGUGAUGAAUAUCUUAGAGGAUGUCAGUCGAAGAGCCUUCCAACAUGCUGGGCGACAAGACCUGGUGCAGCUUGAGUCUGCCUAAUGGUGCCUCUGUCAUUUUGAACGGCGAACCUCAUGAUCAAAACCAACUCCAGUCUUUCAUAGAACACAGUGUACAAUCCAACACGGUUGUUAACGUUGACAGUAAUCUGAUAUUGGUAGCUCAGGUCAUUAGAAACCGACGAGGUGGCGGUAAAAGAAUGUUGGCAAAAACAUACACUGAAGUGAAAAAUCUGCGGGGUCUGAAAAAGAGAACAAGGUACACUGCUGCUACAUACAACCUUUGCCGACGUCAACAGAACAUACAGAGAAAUUAAUAUUCUAUGAUUUUGAGACGUAUGUCGACUUGUCAGGCGUACACGUCCCUUUUUUGGUAUGUACAAAAAUGCUCGAAGGUAUAAGAUGGAACACUCAGGGUGCGGAUUGCACUGAACGCUUUAUCAUGCAUUUCAGGCAACCUUUGUACAGAAAAUCAAUCUUUAUUGCUCACAAUGCUAAAGGGUUUGACAGCUACAUUGUGAUCAAAACCAUGCUCGCUCUGAAAAUGAAGCCUAGUCUCACCAUGCAAGGCAGCAAAGUCAUUUGUUUCACACUGAUUACGACCACAAGUACAUUCUCUCAGCUUUCUCACCAUGCGUCUAUCGGCCAUGCCUAAAGCUUUAGGUUAUGCUGAUAAAACCAAGGGUUUUUUCCCCCAUGGGUUUAGCUCAGAGAAUCAUUUUUACUACAUAGGUCCCUUCCCUCAGCCUGAGGCUUACGGUGUCGGGCAAAUGACUAAAGAGGGAAAGACUGAAUUUGACACAUGGUAUGAGACGGUGCAUCACGGCAUGUUCAGUUUUGAAAAAGAAGCUAUCCGUUACUGUCAAAAUGAUGUGGAUAUUCUCUCAGAGGCUUGCUGCAUUUUCAGAAAAGGCUACAUUGAUGAAACCAGUGUAGACCCAUUCAGCUGCGUCACCAUUGCUUCAGCUUGCAUGAAAGUGUUUCGCACAAAUUUCCUGCCUCCCAAUACCCUGGCCGUUCCAUCAUCCGACAAUUAUCGCAGGCAAUUCAAAUUUCAAUUUUCAAACGCCAGCAGUCAGUGGUUAGAGUGGGUUGCGCGUACAGAGAACAUCUUUAUUCAACACGCUUUGAACAAGGGUGAAAAACAGAUAGGUUACUAUGUAGAUGGUUAUGCAGAGGUGCAAGGUGUGAAAUAUGCAUGGGAGUUUCUGGGUCGUUUUUACCAUGGUUGAAGAGUUGCAUGCGGUCUGUGAGGAGAAAUUACAGGUUUUACAGUCUGUCCAUGGCAUCACAGUGAUGGUCAUGAGAGAGCAUCGUUGGGUUGAGAUGAAAAAAAAACCCAUCAGGGGUUGAAAGAGUUUCUUGAGCAUUACAAAGCUCCUCAACCUCUCACCCCGCGAUGCUCUGUAUGGCAGUAGGACGAGUGCUGUGAGGCUGAGGUAUACAGUGGCGCUGGAUGAAACUGUACAGUAUGUAGAUGUGACAUCCUUGUAUCCCUACGUCAACUGCACAUUUCCUUACCCUCUAGGACGCCCUAACAUCAUCUACACAAAUUUCCAAGAGCCUCAAAACUACUUUGGGUUAAUCAGGGCCGUUGUCUACCCACCUCGGGGUUUGUUUUUCCCUGUUUUACCUUACAGAACAGCUGCUGGUAAACUGGUGUUCGCCCUGUGUUGUACAUGCGCCGAGCUUAAUUUUCAGGAUGGUUCAUGUACACACAACGAUGACGCCAGAGCGUUGACAGGUGUUUGGGUCACUCCUGAAUUUAACAAGGCCUUGGAGAUGGGGUACUGAUUAGGUAAGAUCACUGAGGUGUGGCACUUUUAUCAACAGAGCGAUUCUAUCUUUGUCAAGUACAUGCACACUUUUCUGAAGGGUAAACAGGAAGCUUCAGGUUACCCCCCUGAGGCUACCGAUCAGGAAAGUAGAGAAAAGUACAUUAAUGAUUACAUGACCAAUCAGGGUAUUUUGCUGGACGCUGACAAAAUUAAAUCAAACCUGGCUAAAAGACAAGUGUCUAAACUCUGCUUAAAUAGCUUUUUGGGUAAGUUUGCGCAGAGAAGUAGCCUGAAUCAGACCGCUCUAAUCAGUGACCCUGAAGAAUUUUUCAGUUACAUGUUUUCAGAAAAGUACAAAAUCAAAUACUUUUCAUUCCUCAAUGACACAACGGCUCUCAUUCAAUGGAGUCACGGUGAUCGCUAUAUCGCACCCCCAAACAAGGUCGAUAAUGUCUUCAUCGCAGCAUUCACCACAGCCUAUGGCCGUCUAAAAUUGUACAGCUAUUUGAAGCAAAUGCAAGAGCGGGUUCUCUACUACAACACAGACAGUUUGAUAUAUGUCACAAAAGAGGGAGAACCUCGACUCAAAUUGGGUAAUUACUUGGGGGAUUUGACAGACGAAUUGGGUGACGAUAGCAUACAGGACUUUGUGGCUGUGGGUCCUAAAAGUUAUGCCUAUCAGCCUACAAACAAACGAGUGGUGCUGCGUGUGAAAGGCAUUACUCAGACUCGCGAAUGUUGCGAACAGGUAAACUUUGAUAGCAUCAAAGAGCUGGUGGAGGGAUAUGUGCAAAACCUCACUGCAGAGGGUUUCAUUGAAACCCCUCAGCACAACAUUGUGCGUGAUAAAAAGUGUUUUCUUCUGAAAAACUCAUAAUUUCAAAAGAAGUUGCGAGUGGUGUUUGACGGUUGCUUCCCACAGGUCAAACCUUGCCUUUUGGAUAUUAAAAAAAAAAAAAAAAAAAAAAUGUCACACUUGGGUGUUGCAGAAGAAAUUGAUUUUGAUCCUAGAUUGCAACUACCUUUCUCAUGUCAGAUUGUGGGUCCGAGUGGUUGUGGAAAAACUUUUUUUGUAAAAAAUGUGUUGGAAAAUUGUCAAGAUGUUUUGUCUCGGAUACCUGAAAAUAUUGUAUGGAUUUAUACUUUGUUUCAACCCAUGUAUGCUGA